UGCUUGCUGCAGCGGAGACAAACUCCAAAGGUCCCAGCCACAGGCUUGCCAAGCCGAGGGAGCUGGGACCAGCUAGCUGAAAGCAGCCCAGCAAAGGCUGGAUCCGGCCCUCCGCAGGGCGCGCGGAGUUUCCAGCGCUGACUGCUCCUGGCAAGUCUCCUGGGAGAGAUCAAAGGGGGUGUGGAGCCCUGUUCGUUCUCAUUCAUCUGCAGGCGGUUGGGCUGCUGGUGCAGAGCAUGUGCUAGGAGCAGCGUGUAAACAAACAUCAAAGCAACCUUGUGAAACACCGGAUGUUGUCGGCCAAAUUAAAUUUUGGUAACGCAGAUCCUGUUGCUCCGGCUUUGUCGGUGCGGAGCGUGUAUUGCAUGCUGGGUGCCGGUGGGUUAAGAAAGCCGCCUGAGUACUGUCCCCACCUCCAGAUCGGCUGUGGCUAGCGCAGUUAGAGGAAGCUGAUGCUCAGAUUACGAGAAGUUGGUCGCUAUCCGUCAGCAGCGGCGACUCCGAGGCAGCUUGCCCCGCGUCCCGUCACGAGGAAAACAUCCAGCUGCCCCCGAGGCGGCAGCCGAAACCCCGCGGCCAGGGCCCUUCUCGGCACGGUGAGUCACACCAGCUAUUUUAAACGCCGGCCUUAGGAGGAGAUGAAUUAUCAGCGAACCAGGUGUCCCACGGCUUCGGCUCCCUGGUCACGAAGCCUCGUGGAAGUCGGUCUCCGAGCGCUUUCCGGACGUCCUAUGUGGCAACAGCGUCAUCUCCGCAGGGCACGUGGGGAAACUGAGGCACGGCGCCCUGACCCGCUGGAGAUCUUCGGCGGCUGAGCUUCAGAGCGGGGCUGCCCUAUCGCUGCCGCAGGUGAAGCGAUAGCCAUGGGGAAGCGCCAACAGCCAGUGAAAGCGCGAGCUUCCCGGCUUUCUUUACGGGCGCCCGGGCUCUCCGCACACGCGGCGCCCAGGGGAGCGCGGCCGGCCAGGUCGCGGCAAAGGAUGCAGAAGCCGAGCAUCCCUCCGCAGGCUCAGGAAAAAAAAACAGUUUGCCGGUAACAGCAAAUUUGGGCUCGGGCUUAGCCCCCGCCGUGCACGUUAGGUCUGAGNNNNNNNNNNNNNNNNNNNNNNNNGGGUUGCGGCUCGGUGAAGCCACGCGGGGUUGACACUGACCUUCCUGAGAGCGGGGUCUGACCUAGCCCGGCCUCUGUUACACCCCGAAAGGGCAUCACUCGUCCCUAGCGUUGGUGGGGUUUUGCCUGAGGAAAAAAACACUUUGUUCGGGUUAAAAAAAAAAAAAAAGAAAAAGAAAAAAACCUUUCCACUGCGUAAAGUUGAGUCAAAAUUAGCAAAAGGGCGGAUCAAAGCGAUUCUUUCACCUUCUCCCAGGCUUUUUGUGCCCUUCCUCCAGGGUAAUAUUUUGAUGUCCUUAACCACUGUGUUUUUUUUCCGGUUAGGAGGGGGUUAAGCGACCUGAAAAAUGAAACAAAAGCUCUUGUUUCAAACCGAAGCA
RNAcentral lists this long non-coding RNA (1491 nucleotides) under Struthio camelus australis. RNAcentral describes it as "lncRNA (ENSSCUG00000003895.1)". The record is from RNAcentral. Lineage: Eukaryota; Metazoa; Chordata; Aves; Struthioniformes; Struthionidae.